RNAcentral lists this ribosomal RNA (708 nucleotides) under uncultured bacterium. Its description in RNAcentral is "bacterial SSU rRNA". It matches the Rfam family "Bacterial small subunit ribosomal RNA", at positions 173 to 883 of the family's 1533-position model. The record is from RNAcentral.
GGCAUAGUCUUUCCGCAUGGUAGAAACUAUUAAAGAAUUUUCGGUCAUCGAUGGGGAUGCGUUCCAUUAGGUUGUUGGCGGGGUAACGGCCCACCAAGCCUUCGAUGGAUAGGGGUUCUGAGAGGAAGGUCCCCCACAUUGGAACUGAGACACGGUCCAAACUCCUACGGGAGGCAGCAGUGAGGAAUAUUGGUCAAUGGACGAGAGUCUGAACCAGCCAAGUAGCGUGAAGGAUGACUGCCCUAUGGGUUGUAAACUUCUUUUAUACGGGAAUAAAGUGAGGCACGUGUGCCUUUUUGUAUGUACCGUAUGAAUAAGGAUCGGCUAACUCCGUGCCAGCAGCCGCGGUAAUACGGAGGAUCCGAGCGUUAUCCGGAUUUAUUGGGUUUAAAGGGAGCGUAGGCGGACGCUUAAGUCAGUUGUGAAAGUUUGCGGCUCAACCGUAAAAUUGCAGUUGAUACUGGGUGUCUUGAGUACAGUAGAGGCAGGCGGAAUUCGUGGUGUAGCGGUGAAAUGCUUAGAUAUCACGAAGAACUCCGAUUGCGAAGGCAGCCUGCUGGACUGUAACUGACGCUGAUGCUCGAAAGUGUGGGUAUCAAACAGGAUUAGAUACCCUGGUAGUCCACACAGUAAACGAUGAAUACUCGCUGUUUGCGAUAUACAGUAAGCGGCCAAGCGAAAGCGUUAAGUAUUCCACCUGGGGAGUAC